RNAcentral lists this long non-coding RNA (512 nucleotides) under Olea europaea subsp. europaea. Lineage: Eukaryota; Viridiplantae; Streptophyta; Magnoliopsida; Lamiales; Oleaceae. The record is from RNAcentral.
CCAGAUUAUUUUCAGUAAACACAGGUCAUGAAUUUAUUACAAAAGAUCAAUUAAUGAAACCAAAAACAACAUAAAUCGAAAAUGCCUCUUCAGAAAGAAGAAAAUCAUAUCACACAAAACAGAGAUAAAUAACUCAAUUGGAAGGAUAAACAUUCUGAACCGAGAUAAAACACGUUCAAAACUUACCAAGUGUAGAUCUUACUGUAUACAAUGUCGAUUGGGAUCAUGGCGACCUCGAUCUUGCCGGCGUCAACUAUUGACGAAAUCUUAUCGAUCAACCUGCGUAGUUCAAAAUGCACCAAAACUUUAGCCAAGCCUUUCGAACAGGAUAAGUAAGAACGAUUUGUAAGUGAGAGCACGAAUGGGUUGUGCGUAAGAAGGGAAAUUACAGGAAUUUUGAGAAUCAAAAUAAGAUUUAUAGUUUGUUCACAUUAAAAUGAGUAUGAAAAUGCUAAGAGGAAAAUGUUUCUAGCGAAACGGAAAGAAAGUUAAGAAAGGAAAGAGUAAAGUUC